This 213-nucleotide ribosomal RNA is filed under the name uncultured bacterium. Its description in RNAcentral is "partial 16S ribosomal RNA". It matches the Rfam family "Bacterial small subunit ribosomal RNA", at positions 104 to 334 of the family's 1533-position model. The record is from RNAcentral.
CGGGGUGAGUAACGCGUGAGAAUCUGCCUUCUGUCGGGGACAACCAUUGGAAACGAUGGCUAAUACCGGAUGAGCCUACGGGUAAAAGAUUUAUUGCCAGAAGAGGAGCUCGCGUCUGAUUAGCUAGUUGGUGGGGUAAAAGCUCACCAAGGCAUCGAUCAGUAGCUGGUCUGAGAGGAUGACCAGCCACACUGGGACUGAGACACGGCCCAG